This 254-nucleotide ribosomal RNA is filed under the name uncultured bacterium. Its description in RNAcentral is "partial 16S ribosomal RNA". It matches the Rfam family "Bacterial small subunit ribosomal RNA", at positions 524 to 776 of the family's 1533-position model. The record is from RNAcentral.
UACGUAGGGGGCGAGCGUUGUCCGGAUUUAUUGGGCGUAAAGAGCUCGUAGGCGGUUUGGCAAGUCGGGGGUGAAAACUCCGGGCUCAACUCGGAGACGCCACUCGAUACUGCCAUGACUCGAGUCCGGUAGGGGAGUGCGGAAUUCCUGGUGUAGCGGUGAAAUGCGCAGAUAUCAGGAGGAACACCGGUGGCGAAGGCGGCACUCUGGGCCGGAACUGACGCUGAGGAGCGAAAGCGUGGGGAGCGAACAGG